Molecule: ribosomal RNA, 508 nt
Filed under: uncultured bacterium
Lineage: Bacteria
Description: partial 16S ribosomal RNA
Rfam family: Bacterial small subunit ribosomal RNA
Source: RNAcentral
GAUGAACGCUAGCGGCAGGCUUAAUACAUGCAAGUCGAGGGGCAGCAGGUCCCGCAGCAAUGCGGGAUGCUGGCGACCGGCAAACGGGUGCGGAACACGUACAGAACCUUCCUUUAAGUGGGGAAUAGCCCGGGGAAACCCGGAUUAAUACCCCGUAACAUAAUGAAGUGGCAUCACUUUAUUAUUAUAGCAGCAAUGCGCUUGAAGAUGGCUGUGCGGCUGAUUAGGUAGUUGGCGGGGUAACGGCCCACCAAGCCUACGAUCAGUAACUGGUGUGAGAGCACGACCAGGCACACGGGCACUGAGACACGGGCCCGACUCCUACGGGAGGCAGCAGUAAGGAAUAUUGGGCAAUGGACGCAAGUCUGACCCAGCCAUGCCGCGUGAAGGAUGAAGGUCCUCUGGAUUGUAAACUUCUUUUAUCUGGGAAGAAAUCUAUUUUUUCUAAAGUAGUUGACGGUACCAGGUGAAUAAGCACCGGCUAACUCCGUGCCAGCCGCCGCGGUAA